CUACGGACGUCGAUGUCAGGAGUAAGUAAUUUGUUGCUUCUUGUGCGGUGCAGAUGGACACAGUGAAGCGGAGUUUGGGAUGUCGUGGUGUGCAGGUUUCGGAGGAGCGUUCUACAAUGGCUACUUUGAGGUAUGCAUUAAGCAUUAUGAGGCUUGAUGAUCUAGAAUGGUUACCGAUUUGCUUGCUGGGGAAAUUGGGUUAUAGGUGAUGCCAAAGCAAGCA
RNAcentral lists this long non-coding RNA (223 nucleotides) under Linum usitatissimum (flax). RNAcentral's name for it is "long non-coding RNA (LUSI_LNC000266)". The record is from RNAcentral. Lineage: Eukaryota; Viridiplantae; Streptophyta; Magnoliopsida; Malpighiales; Linaceae.